GUUGCUAGACCUCAUAAAAUGUUUUAUAUAUGCUUGCUGAAAUCCUGGUAAGCCUGUUGAAAAGAUUUAACUGGACCGUAGAAUUUGCAGCACAUGAAGAAGGCUACUACAAUGAAGAGAGUUGUUUCGGUAACCAAUUAUAAAAGCAAAACGUACGUUCAAUGUUAAGUCAUCCCUACCAUGCGAUUUACUCUGAACAAAAACGAUUAGCAGAUUAAUCAACAGACGCAAUGUAAAGUUAAAAAAAAAAAAAAAAAACGUUCAGCCUGUCAUACGUUUUGGACAAUUAACCGUUGGAGCACGUACGAUAAAGAAAAACACACACCUGGGAACACAAAACAGAGGCCUCUUAGAUCCUCUGACCAAUUGCUCCUGUCUGUUCCUCGGUCCCGGUUUAAAACCAAGGGCGACCGUGCCUUCUCCAAUGCUGCCCCAAGGCUUUGGAAUAGUCUACCAUUUUCUAUUAGGUCUUCCCCCUCCACUGACUCUUCUAAAUCCCGUAUUAAGACACCUUUUUACAUUGGGUCUUAAUGCUUGGCAUGUUGUCUUUGUGUAUUGUAUUUUAUACCUUUUUAUUUAAUUUAUUUUAUGCAUUUUUAUUUUCCUUGUACAGCACUUUGGUUAACUUCUGUUGUUUUUAAAUGUGCUUUAUAAAUAAACUGACUUGACUUGA
Anguilla rostrata (American eel) is the source of this 673-nucleotide long non-coding RNA. RefSeq lists it as uncharacterized. The transcript is spliced from 2 exons. The record is from RefSeq and is a predicted model, not a curated record. NCBI's taxonomy places the organism in Eukaryota, Metazoa, Chordata, Actinopteri, Anguilliformes, Anguillidae.